RNAcentral lists this ribosomal RNA (253 nucleotides) under uncultured bacterium. RNAcentral describes it as "partial 16S ribosomal RNA". It matches the Rfam family "Bacterial small subunit ribosomal RNA", at positions 524 to 776 of the family's 1533-position model. The record is from RNAcentral.
GACGUAGGGCGCGAGCGUUGUCCGGAUUUAUUGGGCGUAAAGAGCUCGUAGGCGGCUUGUCGCGUCGUCUGUGAAAUCCCGCGGCUCAACCGCGGGUCUGCAGUCGAUACGGGCAGGCUAGAGUUCGGUAGGGGAGACUGGAAUUCCUGGUGUAGCGGUGAAAUGCGUAGAUAUCUGGAGGAACACCGGUGGCGAAAGCGCGAGACUGGGCCGUAACUGACGCUGAGGAACGAAAGCCAGGGUAGCCAAAGGG